AACUGCCCAGCUGGCCCUGCGUCCGCCUGGGAAUAAUACAGCGCUGUAACACGUCAAGCCAAACAGGCUUGCCCCAGUGACCAAGAAAUUCCAGCGCUAGAUAUUUAUUACCUGGAGGACUAUGGAAAGGUGGCCAGAUCGAAUUGCUUUCAAGCUUCAGACGCUGCCAGGACCCCACUUUAUUUUGGAGGCUGAUGCUAGAGAUGACAUGAUAUGGAGGCUCCACAUGGCAGGCUCCCUUCUGGGGCCUUAGUCCUCACAGAAGGGAUGGAGGGGCAGUGGCCAGUGCUUGUGUGCUUGUCUAGCAAGCAGGAGAUCCUGGCUUCAAUCCCAGCACCACAAAAACAAACGAAAGACCACCUGAUAGAAGAAGCUGCACAUUGUUCUAGUGAAGAUAUGCUGUGUCUAAGGCAAAACGGCACGGAAACUGCAAUGAAACGCUACUUACUGGGGACGGCUUAGCAUUCAUCACGCCAUGGGAUUCAGCCAAACUUCUCUUCAAACAGAGAAAACCCUUUAUGAAGAUUGCACGAGCUCCAAUAUCCACUCGUCUCUCCAACAUCCCUCCAAUUCUGCCAGUUCCGACGCAACAGUCCGGGCAUAUUUGUGGGUUUGCCUUCCGUUUUCUGUUAGCUGUGGUCAGUACAGCAUAAAAGGAUAUUUUAAAAGAGACUUUGCAUUCACCUAAUCUUUACACAUUGCAUCGUUUUACUCGUUCUAUGCUAUUAUUGGUUGUUGUUGGUCUGUUACUGUGCCUAAUUGGUAAACUGUUUUAUCAUCUGUAUGCAUAUAUAGUCUAGACAGGGCCCGGUCCUGUGUGUAGUUUCACACGUCUGCUGGGGCCCUGAAACAUAUUCCCCAUGGCUAAGUGGGGAAUAUAUAUUUAUAUAUUUAAAUGCCUCUUUAUAUUUAAAUGCCUCUUCAUUAUACAAUGGCACACACAACAAAAUCUAAAACUAAGCAGAUCGUAUAUAGAAAUUGGCAACAAUAUGCAUAUUUGUAUUUAGUAUAUACAUAGAAGUGAGCCAACAUUCAAAUUUGAUUAUUUGGAAACAAAGAAAAUAAAUCAAAUUUCUUACUAAUCAAGAAUAACCUGAAAGAAAGUAAGAUACUGGCCAACUUAAACCUGUUUACCAGUAUUUGCUUAAUUCAAAUUGAAAUAUUUCACCUGUCAUUAAGGUUCCAUAAACUUUAAUACAUGUCAUAGAAUAUGACCUUUCCACUCCCCUACUUCUUCAAAUAUGUACAAAUAUAUCCUUCCAAGUAUUCAUGUACUUAUUUGAUCUUCUUUUGCCUUCAGAAAAUUUGUAAUUCUUCCAUUCGUGGACAAAUAUGUGUUCCUAAUGCUGUAGCAACUACCUGUAAGCAGUAUAGUUUGUCUCUUA
Molecule: long non-coding RNA, 1385 nt
Organism: Heterocephalus glaber (naked mole-rat)
Lineage: Eukaryota; Metazoa; Chordata; Mammalia; Rodentia; Bathyergidae
Source: RefSeq, a predicted model, not a curated record